AUCGAACGCUGGCGGCAUGCCUAACACAUGCAAGUCGAACGAGACCUUCGGGUCUAGUGGCGCACGGGUGCGUAACGCGUGGGAACCUGCCCUUAGGUUCGGAAUAACUCCCCGAAAGGGGUGCUAAUACCGGAUAAUGUCUUCGGACCAAAGAUUUAUCGCCUUUGGAUGGGCCCGCGUUGGAUUAGCUGGUUGGUAGGGUAAAAGCCUACCAAGGCGACGAUCCAUAGCUGGUCUGAGAGGAUGAUCAGCCACACUGGGACUGAGACACGGCCCAGACUCCUACGGGAGGCAGCAGUGGGGAAUAUUGGACAAUGGGCGAAAGCCUGAUCCAGCAAUGCCGCGUGAGUGAUGAAGGCCUUAGGGUUGUAAAGCUCUUUUACCCGGGAUGAUAAUGACAGUACCGGGAGAAUAAGCGCCGGCUAACUCCGUG
RNAcentral lists this ribosomal RNA (433 nucleotides) under uncultured bacterium. Its description in RNAcentral is "partial 16S ribosomal RNA". It matches the Rfam family "Bacterial small subunit ribosomal RNA", at positions 30 to 507 of the family's 1533-position model. The record is from RNAcentral.